GCGUUUGCGAGUGUGUUCGCCCCGAAACGUGGGAUGUGUUUUUCUCUUGCUUUUCCUCGUUCUUCUUAUCCGCUCGGACGAUAACGCGUCGAUGUAGCUUUCCGUAUUUAUCGCCGCUUUCCCGUACGGCCGGCUCGUUACAUCGUUCGACGAACGGUGGGAACGACGGGCGCGCGGGUUAUCUUGAAAGAGUUUCUUUGUGGGUACCGACGCAACUUUGACGGAGGCGUGUCUAUGUCGACAGGCUACCAUUAAGCUGAGUUUUUCUGCCUUAAAUUCCCACGACUUUUUUCCAAGUCUGCGGCAACUCCGGUAAUAAUAUCGAACGUGGGUAUACGUUGUGCAUUCUUGGCAGAAAACACGGAGGUGCGCUAUAUAUAUCGGUUGGUCUUGCCACAGAGAAAGAGAGCGAGAAAGAGAGUUAAACACAUCAGUAGCUCUUUAAUCGUGGUCUGAAUGAAAGGAACAUCAUGAUCAGCCGAGACAACCGUAUUCGUAAUCACGCGCCGUACGUGAUUCUCAAGAGAUAUUUUCUCAAGGGAUGCGCGAGACAUGUUGCGAAAUUCAUCGGAGAAAAGAGUUGCAAUCUCUUUGCGAUUGAUCGUACGCUCCUGAACCCGGAAAUAACGCGUUUUCGUGCGCCGUACGGAAACUUUUGGACGCCGUUAUCGCGGGCAGUUAAGCGGAAUUGCGAAACGCUCGUCGUUCGGGCGGACGCGUGCCUGCCUCUUCCUGAAUCUAGCGAAGUACGAGCGUCUUUAUUGUCGCUAUUUGAUACAGCCGUUAUAUAUUCGCCCGCUCUGCUGGCGAAGCCACCACAGCGCACAAUAUAGUCCCGACAUAGAAAAAAAUUAUAGUUUAAAGUUUUUUGUAAUGUUUAAUUUAAAUUCGCUAUAGAAAUAACAUUUAAGAGUCUGAAUAUGUCGGUAUCGAGUGCACUUUCCUUCUUUUUGCUUUUAUUUUCAUAGUAUUACAGGAGAAAAUGAUAUUCAACUUUGAAUGUGUUCUUUGUAUUUUGGUUUAUAUAUAUAUAUUUGUAAUUGCACUCGGCAUAAUGAUUUAAACUGACGUGUUGCACCGUUCCCGAAAAACGAUAAGUGAACUAUUGUCGUUCGUAUUUUAUUGAUCACGUGAAAAUAUAUUUGCUCCUAAAUAAAGAAGACAUAAAUCGGAAUUUUUCUUUGUUAUCUAAAUCACUCCAAAAUGUGUUUUUAGUUUAGAUUAAGUUUUCUAAUUUGAAGUAACAUUAACAUCCAGCCACAUA
Dinoponera quadriceps is the source of this 1264-nucleotide long non-coding RNA. RefSeq lists it as uncharacterized. The record is from RefSeq and is a predicted model, not a curated record. The transcript has 3 exons. Lineage: Eukaryota; Metazoa; Arthropoda; Insecta; Hymenoptera; Formicidae.